This 450-nucleotide ribosomal RNA is filed under the name uncultured bacterium. Its description in RNAcentral is "partial 16S ribosomal RNA". It matches the Rfam family "Bacterial small subunit ribosomal RNA", at positions 354 to 796 of the family's 1533-position model. The record is from RNAcentral.
GUGGGGAAUUUUGGACAAUGGGCGCAAGCCUGAUCCAGCAAUGCCGCGUGCAGGAAGAAGGCCUUCGGGUUGUAAACUGCUUUUGUACGGAACGAAAAGGCUCUGGCUAAUACCUGGAGCUCAUGACGGUACCGUAAGAAUAAGCACCGGCUAACUACGUGCCAGCAGCCGCGGUAAUACGUAGGGUGCGAGCGUUAAUCGGAAUUACUGGGCGUAAAGCGUGCGCAGGCGGUGCUGUAAGACAGGCGUGAAAUCCCCGGGCUCAACCUGGGAAUUGCGCCUGUGACUGCAGUGCUGGAGUGCGGCAGAGGGGGAUGGAAUUCCGCGUGUAGCAGUGAAAUGCGUAGAUAUGCGGAGGAACACCGAUGGCGAAGGCAAUCCCCUGGGCCUGCACUGACGCUCAUGCACGAAAGCGUGGGGAGCAAACAGGAUUAGAUACCCCAGUAGUCC